Molecule: transfer RNA, 73 nt
Filed under: marine eukaryotic metagenome
Rfam family: tRNA
About the family: Transfer RNA (tRNA) molecules are approximately 80 nucleotides in length. Their secondary structure includes four short double-helical elements and three loops (D, anti-codon, and T loops).
Source: RNAcentral
GGGACGUAGCGUAGUCUGGUUAACGCGACAGAUUGUCGAUCUGUAGAUCGCGGGUUCAAAUCCCGUCGUCCCC